UACGUAGGGUGCGAGCGUUGUCCGGAAUUACUGGGCGUAAAGCGCGCGUAGGCGGCUUUGUAAGUUAGAGGUGAAAGCCCGGGGCUCAACCCCGGAAUUGCCUUUAAGACUGCAUCGCUUGAAUCCGGGAGAGGUGAGUGGAAUUCCGAGUGUAGAGGUGAAAUUCGUAGAUAUUCGGAAGAAGACCAGUGGCGAAGGCGGCUCACUGGACCGGCAUUGACGCUGAGGUGCGAAAGCGUGGGGAGCAAACAGG
Molecule: ribosomal RNA, 253 nt
Filed under: uncultured bacterium
Lineage: Bacteria
Description: partial 16S ribosomal RNA
Rfam family: Bacterial small subunit ribosomal RNA
Source: RNAcentral